UAGGGAAUCUUCCGCAAUGGACGCAAGUCUGACGGAGCAACGCCGCGUGAGUGAAGAAGGAUUUCGGUUCGUAAAACUCUGUUGUUAGAGAAGAACAGCGCAUAGAGUAACUGUUAUGCGUGUGACGGUAUCUAACCAGAAAGCCACGGCUAACUACGUGCCAGCAGCCGCGGUAAUACGUAGGUGGCAAGCGUUGUCAGGAUUUAUUGGGCGUAAAGCGAGCGCAGGCGGUCAAUUAAGUCUGAUGUGAAAGCCCCCGGCUCAACCGGGGAGGGUCAUUGGAAACUGGUUGACUUGAGUGCAGAAGGGGGUAGUGGAAUUCCAUGUGUAGCGGUGAAAUGCGUAGAUAUAUGGAGGAACACCAGUGGCGAAGGCGACUCUCUGGUCUGUAACUGACGCUGAGGCUCGAAAGCGUGGGUAGCAAACAGG
RNAcentral lists this ribosomal RNA (429 nucleotides) under Bacteroidota bacterium. RNAcentral describes it as "Bacteroidetes bacterium partial 16S ribosomal RNA". It matches the Rfam family "Bacterial small subunit ribosomal RNA", at positions 355 to 776 of the family's 1533-position model. Lineage: Bacteria; Pseudomonadati; Bacteroidota. The record is from RNAcentral.